GUAAUAAUCCGGGCGGGUAAGAAACGGAUAACAGAUACUACUCGGGUAGUUACCAGAUAAUUGUCGGGUAGUUCGUCCCGAUGAUAUUAAUUGUCCAACCACCCAACAAAUACAUAAAUUAAGCAAUACAUAAUCAUGUAUAUGAUAGAUCAAAUGUAGGAAAGGAAAUCGAUAAAUUUGACAUCAUGCAGUUCAAAGUUACUAAUUACAAGAACAUUGUAGAACCAACACCGCAAUAUUAAAAAUUCAUAAAAUAUUUUAGUUUCACUAAAAAAUUGUAAAUAAGUUACAAAAACAAAUAAACAUUUUAUACGAAGAUAACUCAAGUCCUCAUAUGAAAAUGAUAAAGUAAAGUACUGAUUAUGUUGAAACUUGGAUACUUAUAGUGAUUUCACAUGUAACUCAUAUAAAUAAGUGAACGUGAAAUGGAAGAAACACGACCAUCUUAUAGAUCUUAUGAUCCAAACAUUUUUUAUGGUUAUAUAUGAACAUAUGUUGUGCCUCCGUAAAAUUUCAUAAUUUUUUGAGGCUAUUUAUAUAUUAUUAAUUUCUUGUCGUAGAAAAUCAUCAAAGUACAAUUAAAUCCAUCAAAUAACGUAGCGUCGACCGAAAAUUACAAAUAAGUUACCAAUACUAAUAAAUAGUCUAUACAAAGAAAAUCUUAAGUCUCACGUGGAGAUAACCUUAAGCCCCCCACAUAAAAAUAAUAAAGUAUAUUAAUUUAAUAUAAAUUUGGACGCCUAAAUAUAUGUUUAAACAAAAAAUGAUGUACUACAAAGUUAUAGAUCUCUUCGAGCUCUACAAUUUUCAUAUAAACUUUAUCUUCAUCCGAUUUCAUAUGUAAAAAACUAUAUUAUUAU
This 860-nucleotide long non-coding RNA is filed under the name Zea mays. RNAcentral describes it as "long non-coding RNA NONZMAT004420". Lineage: Eukaryota; Viridiplantae; Streptophyta; Magnoliopsida; Poales; Poaceae. The record is from RNAcentral.